Molecule: ribosomal RNA, 294 nt
Filed under: Halothiobacillus sp.
Lineage: Bacteria; Pseudomonadati; Pseudomonadota; Gammaproteobacteria; Chromatiales; Halothiobacillaceae
Description: partial 16S ribosomal RNA
Rfam family: Bacterial small subunit ribosomal RNA
Source: RNAcentral
CAGUCGACGGUAACAGGCCUUCGGGCGCUGACGAGUGGCGGACGGGUGAGUAAUACAUGGGAAUCUGCCCUUAGGUGGGGGAUAACGUUGGGAAACUAACGCUAAUACCGCAUAAUCUCUUCGGAGCAAAGCGUGGGAUCUUCGGACCACGUGCCAAAGGAUGAGCCCAUGUCUGAUUAGCUAGUUGGUGAGGUAAUGGCUCACCAAGGCGACGAUCAGUAGCCGGCCUGAGAGGGUGGACGGCCACACUGGGACUGAGACACGGCCCAGACUCCUACGGGAGGCAGCAGUGGG